GGCAAACAACCAACAGGCAGUCCCCAGUUUCAUCUCCAUUUCAAGUUUCAACAAUCUGAGACAAUUAGGUAAAGUACCCACCUUUUCUUCUUGUUGCUUUUUUGUUUCUUGUUUGCUACUGGUCCAAGUUCUCUGUAAUUGGUUCAACAAAGCCAAAAACCCAAAUGAUAGACUCAUUCCGUUGAUGGGAAUUCUUAGAUUUUAUUAGUAGAAAGUUGCUGGUUUGCUGCUGCUGAUUUUAUUCUGCAGAGAUAUGGCUGCUUUUUCUGUUGUUUGUAAUAAUGGGUUAUUGAUUAGUAAAGAGAACUUGGGGGUUCGUAGUGGAAAGGCCAAGUCUUUGAGGAGAUACACAAGUGUUUGUUAUAAUUCAGUUCUUAUAGGCUCGGUGGGAAUUUACAACAUUGGCAAUUCCCAACAUUUUAUUCUUUCUAGGAAUAAAUUUAGGUCAGUUUAUGAUGGAAAAAGUGAAGUUCCCUUCUUGAGGUUUUGUGUUUCUUUUAAGUCUCGACAUGGAUUAUGUUGUCAUAAUAAUAUUGGGCCAUCGAUGACAGAAGACACAGGAAAUGAACAAUCACAUUUGAAAAAGAGAGUCACUACUGGUUUGAGGAAGCGAUUUUCAUUGAGAUUGCGACCAAGA
RNAcentral lists this unclassified non-coding RNA (637 nucleotides) under Hevea brasiliensis (rubber tree). Lineage: Eukaryota; Viridiplantae; Streptophyta; Magnoliopsida; Malpighiales; Euphorbiaceae. The record is from RNAcentral.